RNAcentral lists this ribosomal RNA (391 nucleotides) under uncultured bacterium. RNAcentral describes it as "bacterial SSU rRNA". It matches the Rfam family "Bacterial small subunit ribosomal RNA", at positions 30 to 425 of the family's 1533-position model. The record is from RNAcentral.
AUUGAACGCUGGCGGAAUGCUUUACACAUGCAAGUCGAACGGUAGAGGGGGCAACCCCUUGAGAGUGGCGAACGGGUGAGUAAUAUAUCGGAACGUGCCCAGUCGUGGGGAUAACGUAGCGAAAGUUACGCUAAUACCGCAUACGAUCUAAGGAUGAAAGCGGGGGGAUCGCAAGACCUCGCGCGAUUGGAGCGGCCGAUAUCAGAUUAGGUAGUUGGUGGGGUAAAGGCUCACCAAGCCAACGAUCUGUAGCUGGUCUGAGAGGACGACCAGCCACACUGGAACUGAGACACGGUCCAGACUCCUACGGGAGGCAGCAGUGGGGAAUUUUGGACAAUGGACGCAAGUCUGAUCCAGCCAUUCCGCGUGCAGGAUGAAGGCCCUCGGGUUG